This 245-nucleotide ribosomal RNA is filed under the name uncultured bacterium. RNAcentral describes it as "partial 16S ribosomal RNA". It matches the Rfam family "Bacterial small subunit ribosomal RNA", at positions 524 to 768 of the family's 1533-position model. The record is from RNAcentral.
UACGUAGGGGGCAAGCGUUGUCCGGAGUUACUGGGCGUAAAGGGCGCGCAGGCGGUUUGGCAAGUUUGGAGUGACAGUGCUCGGCUCAACUGAGCAAGGCCUCUGAAAACUGCUGGACUUGAGGGCCAGAGAGGGACAUAGAAUUCCGGGUGGAGUGGUGAAAUGCGUAGAUAUCCGGAGGAAUACCAAAGGCGAAGGCAGUGUCCUGGCUGGUACCUGACGCUCAGGCGCGAAAGCUAGGGGAG